AGCAGCAGCCGCGGUAAUACGUAGGGUGCGAGCGUUAAUCGGAAUUACUGGGCGUAAAGCGUGCGCAGGCGGUUGUGUAAGACAGGUGUGAAAGCCCCGGGCUUAACCUGGGAACUGCAUUUGAAGCUGGGCGACUAGAGUAUGAAAGAGGAAAGCGGAAUUUCCAGUGUAGCAGUGAAAUGCGUAGAUAUUGGAAGGAACACCGAUGGCGAAGGCAGCUUUCUGGGUCGAUACUGACGCUCAUGUGCGAAAGCGUGGGGAGCAAACAGGAUUAGAUACCCCGGUAGUCCCUGUCUCUUAUAA
Molecule: ribosomal RNA, 303 nt
Filed under: uncultured bacterium
Lineage: Bacteria
Description: partial 16S ribosomal RNA
Rfam family: Bacterial small subunit ribosomal RNA
Source: RNAcentral